CCUACGGGGUGCAGCAGUGAGGAAUAUUGGUCAAUGGGCGCUAGCCUGAACCAGCCAAGUAGCGUGAAGGAUGACUGCCCUACGGGUUGUAAACUUCUUUUAUAUUGGAAUAAAGUGCGGUAUGUGUGCCUCUUUGUAUGUACUUUAUGAAUAAGGAUCGGCUAACUCCGUGCCAGCAGCCGCGGUAAUACGGAGGAUCCGAGCGUUAUCCGGAUUUAUUGGGUUUAAAGGGAGCGUAGAUGGGUUGUUAAGUCAGUUGUGAAAGUUUGCGGCUCAACCGUAAAAUUGCAAUUGAUACUGGCAGUCUUGAGUACAGUAGAGGUAGGCGGAAUUCGUGGUGUAGCGGUGAAAUGCUUAGAUAUCACGAAGAACUCCGAUUGCGAAGGCAGCUUGCUAGACUGCAACUGACGUUGAUGCUCGAAAGUGUGGGUAUCAAACAGGAUUAGAUACCCCGGUAGUC
This 460-nucleotide ribosomal RNA is filed under the name uncultured bacterium. RNAcentral's name for it is "partial 16S ribosomal RNA". It matches the Rfam family "Bacterial small subunit ribosomal RNA", at positions 338 to 795 of the family's 1533-position model. The record is from RNAcentral.